AAUGCAUCUGGAGGGCUCUAGGACCGCUCCUCCGUCCUAGCUCCCACUGUGGCUCCGCCCCUCCCACGUCUCUCCGUUCUCUACUGCUGCUGUUGCUGCGUUCACAGUGGAAGCCGGAGGAAGAGGGCCUUCAGCAUGGCCUGUCAGUCCCCUGUCUCUGUGAGCCCGCAUCAGCACAGACAGCUGCAGCACACUACUGUAUAGGUGUGGAGAAGUGCGGAUCAUAUUUAUGCUGAUUGCUGGCCUGCCUGUGCUGCGCGUGAACGCAAUGCUCCCUGCCACACACCACCGCAUACAUCACGCCAUGGCUCGGACAGAGACCAGGACCGGGAUGCAGAUGCUCAGCAACCCCAGGAAGAGGGUGUGGCCGGAGAUAGCCCCAGAGCCCCUGGAGCUCAAGAACACCAAGCUCCCUGCCGUGCCCAGUCACCAGCCGUGAUUCCUGUGGUGCCCCCCAGAUGUGAUGCUGCUGCUCCUGCUCCAGCUGCAGCAAUUGGGGGACCACCACAGGAGGAAGGAAGGUGACUGGGUGAGAGACUUGCAGAACAACGUGGGCUUCUGGAGAGGCUUUGUCGCCAGCACCGCUGCCAGGAUCUCUGGAUGCGAAGAUGGAUGUCACUCAUACAUGGCACCAUGCGUAACAUUCAUUCAAGCAUCCACCUGGUGGCAGCUGUUUGAGCCGUGCCUCACCGAUCAGAGGGCGCUGCUGCAGGUCCAGUCCCUGGUCCUGCUGCUGCUCCCCCUCCACCCCCACCCCCUGUAUCUCCUCAACAGCACAGAGGGAGGGGGCGUGGAAGGGUACAAGGUCCUGUCCGAGAGGACAAGCGUAAAUGUCCCCAGCUCCAGUCUGUGUCACUUUCCAACUGACACUGGCCUCUUUGCCCAUUUUAUACUGGCAGAUAACUUCGCCCAAUUCACGCUUCAGGUAUGACUCUGUCCAUUACCCAGCAAUGGGACUGACUCCCAAACAACACCUCCCAUUGUUUAGACCAUGCUGCAAUUUCGUCACUGAGGGGUGCCAUAUCUAUCUUUUAAAGUAAAGCAAUAAAUCCAGCAGCACUCUGA
Molecule: long non-coding RNA, 1065 nt
Organism: Xenopus laevis (African clawed frog)
Lineage: Eukaryota; Metazoa; Chordata; Amphibia; Anura; Pipidae
Exons: 4
Source: RefSeq, a predicted model, not a curated record